UUGCUUCAGUAGCACAUAUACUAAAAUUGAAAUGAUACAGAGAUUAGAAUGGCUCCUUCACAAGGAUGAGUGAGACAUAAAUUCAUGAAGUAGUCCAUGUUAAA
This is a small nuclear RNA of Myodes glareolus (Bank vole), 104 nucleotides long. Lineage: Eukaryota; Metazoa; Chordata; Mammalia; Rodentia; Cricetidae. The record is from RefSeq and is a predicted model, not a curated record.